GUCAUUGUAGUUUAGAUAAAACACUGGUCUUGUAAACCAGAAUCGGAAUAAUAGAUUCCCUAUUACA
This 67-nucleotide transfer RNA is filed under the name Ischnura pumilio. RNAcentral describes it as "tRNA-Thr". It matches the Rfam family "tRNA". Rfam says of the family: Transfer RNA (tRNA) molecules are approximately 80 nucleotides in length. Their secondary structure includes four short double-helical elements and three loops (D, anti-codon, and T loops). Lineage: Eukaryota; Metazoa; Arthropoda; Insecta; Odonata; Coenagrionidae. The record is from RNAcentral.